GACCGCGUAGCUGAGCUGGAAGAGCAUUGGGCUAGUAUUCCAAAGGUCGUAGGUUCGAAUCCCACUGUGGCCG
Molecule: non-coding RNA, 73 nt
Organism: Paramuricea clavata
Lineage: Eukaryota; Metazoa; Cnidaria; Anthozoa; Malacalcyonacea; Plexauridae
Source: the annotation of a GenBank genome assembly